UAACACCUAACUAGACAAUCACACUCGCAAUCCUUAUCUCUUUUACCAAUAAAUUUUCUAAGUUAUACAAUAAAUCGAAAGGCUCAACACAAUUAGAGGGGAAAACACAUGCAGCUUCCUCUUGUUCCUCUAAUAACACUCCAAAUUCCAGUAAUUGAGAUACAAAAAAUCGAUAAAUCCAAAUUCAUUUUCCACCGUUAUUAAGACACCAUCAAGCUCCACAAAAAUUCCAUAAAAAUCAACCAAAAACUCCGUAUCUAGCCAUGGAAAUAAGCUAAAAACACCAUUUUCGUCACUAAAAUCAGCCUAAAAAAGAGCCACUUUCCUCUUCCACAAAUGACCAUGAAACCCGUCUGAAACUAACACCAAACACUAGCCAAAUAACACUCCAAACCCAGCAAAUCACCCCCAUAAUCCACCUCAAAAAACCUUAAAAAGACUUUAAAAUUCAGCUCAAAAUUGACCCAAAACACUUCUACGGAGAGGUUCACGGUCGUUGAUUUUCAAAAGAAAUGAAGGCAGCCUUUAUAUUAAGUUAAAUUUUUAGAUCUGAAAUUGUAAAUUUACUAGAUAUAUAUUCUUAUUAUUUAAGAAAAAUUUCUUUGCUAAAGGUCAAUAUUUCUCUUCUCUUUCUUUAUUUAUCUUUGCAUCUACAAUAGUUUUCUAUGCCUG
Molecule: long non-coding RNA, 672 nt
Filed under: Nicotiana benthamiana
Lineage: Eukaryota; Viridiplantae; Streptophyta; Magnoliopsida; Solanales; Solanaceae
Description: long non-coding RNA (NBEN_LNC013272)
Source: RNAcentral